Pyrus x bretschneideri (Chinese white pear) is the source of this 2368-nucleotide RNA transcript. It is a transcript of the gene named cyclic nucleotide-gated ion channel 1-like, with no coding region annotated. The record is from RefSeq and is a predicted model, not a curated record. Lineage: Eukaryota; Viridiplantae; Streptophyta; Magnoliopsida; Rosales; Rosaceae. The transcript has 7 exons.
AACUCCAAAAAAAAAAAUGGAGAGGGGAGAGAGCCGAAGCAGAGAGCAAAGGAGAAACAGAAGAAGGCUGAGGGGAGAAAGCAGAGGAGAUGAAGAAAAAGCAUAGAAGCAGAGCAAAGGGGUUUUACAGGGUUUCUAAAUUUAAUUUUUAUUUUUCUUAUUAUGAAUUUAAUGACAAUUUGAACUAGGUAUCAGAACUAAUUGUCCUUAGAUACAGCUACGAUGUAACCAUGACUAUGAACAUGAGUGUAGUACUAGCAGGUCAUCUACAAUUUAAGCACUUUUACAAAGUUAUCAAUGCUUUUAUUCAUUCAAAUUGAAACACUAUUCAAAGGUUAUCCAUGUACUCAUUACACUAGAUUCAACUUUGAUGACUUUUCAAACAUAAUUCCCUAAAUAAUUUUUAUUUCCGUAGCAACGCGCGAACAUUAAUGCCUAGUUAUAAAUUAAAUAUAAUCCCGCCAAAAUUAUAGCCCAACGGAAAAUUAUUUUUAAAUGAACAAUUUCAAGCUAUAUUCAUAUACCAUCUCCAACCGAAGAAGCUAACUAUAACUUCCUUAAUAAUUUAUUAUUUUUAAGUUUAUUCUUUAACUUUAUUGAUUACUAGAACUGAGUUGUUUGUGUCUAAGAUUUGGUUUCCAUUUAAAGUGAGUUGUUUGCCAUUAGCCAGCUUCACUCCACUCUCUCCCUCUCAAAAAUCAAGCACAUAUUAUCCGCCACGUCAGGUUAUUAGCAGGGUUCCUACAGGGCGUCGGAGUACUAGAUCUCUCUCUACGUACUGAUGGCCGAGCUCAUAACGAGGGCGUUCCUUAAGGCCGUUGCAGUUCGCGCGUAUCAAGUAUUGGACUUUGAUCGUAGGAGAGCUGUUAGCAAUCAACUGGAGCGAUUGUGGUACAAGAUUGUUACAAUAUCAUUUGUGGUUGCUAUGGCAAUGGAUCCUUUGUUCUUUUAUAUUCCAAUCAUCGAUCAGUAUAACAAAUGCCUUAGAAUGGACAAAAAGCUCUGGAAAAUUUCUCUUAUUUUCCGAUCACUCACGGAUAUCAAUGCCCUGGUGCAUUUGCUAUAUCGGCUCCGUCUGCUUUUUGAAUCUUUUAGGGUGGAAUUGGGUAGCUCACAAGUUUUCGGACUAGUACUGACAGUAGUAGCAUUAUUUGUCACCCCCUUCGGUAUUGAAGUUUUGGCUCUUCUUCCCAUCCCACAACUGCUAAUAGGAGUUGAUUUUUACAAAAUAUGGGGCUCUGGAUCUUUUCGACAGCGUAUGUCUAUUACCAAUUGUUGUCUUCUAGCUCAAUAUCCACCAAGGAUGUACAGAAUUCGCGAGUUCAAGAAAAUCAAGAAAUUUGAUAUAAAGUUUAAAACCAUGAUCUAUUUUGGUCUCUACAUUUUUACCAGUCACGUACUCGGAGCUCUUUGGUACUUUUUUUCUAUUCAGCGAGAGAUUUUAUGCUGGCAUUCUGCAUGUGUAAAUUAUAGUACAGAUCCCAAAACAUGUAUGGAUACUUUCUGUCGAACUAUUGCUUCGAGGAAUAUCACAUUUCUAAAUGAGCAUUGCUCAACAGAUAUUUUAGAUGGUGCCUCAUCAGUGCCCUAUAAUUUUGGAAUAUAUCUUGAUGCCCUAAAGACUCUCACCGUAGACGACGUAAAAUUUUCAACAAAGUUGUUAUACUGUUUUUGGUGGGGGCUCCGAAAUAUAAGUAAUUUUGGCACGAAUCUCAUGACAAGUACUUUUGUGUGGGAAAACGUGUUUGCAAUUUGUAUUUCUAUCAGUAGCUUCCUCCUACUUACAUUUGUCGCUGCAACUGCAACUGCAGGGCCGCAGAAAGAGGCAGCACCAGGCGCGCAAGAAGACCCCCUGACAGUAGUGGGCACUAAUGGCGAGAGCUUGUCAGCACCACCAAUCAUUUAGCAGCUGCAGCAACGUUCUUAAUUAUGGCCAAGAACUCCGGGCAACUCUUGCUCGGACUCAAAACCAAACUGGUUGAUAAUGGGACAACGAAGGGCCCAACUUAGAAAAUAAAAAGGAAAAGCAGAUGCAGAGCUGAACGUAAUGAAGUGAGAAGACGAAAGCAAAGCAAACAAUGAUCGUCGUCCAGUCCAAGCAGCACUCAAAAGUCAACAACUAUGGCGGUUGGUCUCGGCAACGUACUCGUCCUCGUUCGAUCAUGCAGCGGAGGUACUAGUCUGCUGCUGCGUGUGCCACUCAUUGAAGGAUCCAAUAAACCAACGACAGCACUGAAAAUCUCGACACGGACGCAAGAUUUGACUUUUAAUUUUUAAUCUACGGAAAUCUUAAUUAAACUAAUCAUUCCUGCAACUCGCAUCUUCUCACAAUAGCAAUAAAUCAGUUAUUUUUUGUGUUCUGAUUAGU